UACAGAGGGUGCGAGCGUUAAUCGGAAUUACUGGGCGUAAAGCGCACGUAGGCGGCUUGGUAUGUCGGGUGUGAAAUCCCCGGGCUCAACCUGGGAACUGCAUCCGAAACUGCCUUGCUAGAGUAUGGGAGAGGGAAGUGGAAUUUCCGGUGUAGCGGUGAAAUGCGUAGAUAUCGGAAGGAACAUCAGUGGCGAAGGCGACUUCCUGGACCAAUACUGACGCUCAGGAGCGAAAGCGUGGGGAGCGAACAGG
This 253-nucleotide ribosomal RNA is filed under the name uncultured bacterium. RNAcentral's name for it is "partial 16S ribosomal RNA". It matches the Rfam family "Bacterial small subunit ribosomal RNA", at positions 524 to 776 of the family's 1533-position model. The record is from RNAcentral.